RNAcentral lists this ribosomal RNA (168 nucleotides) under Triticum aestivum (bread wheat). RNAcentral's name for it is "partial small subunit ribosomal RNA". The record is from RNAcentral. Lineage: Eukaryota; Viridiplantae; Streptophyta; Magnoliopsida; Poales; Poaceae.
AGAAGACCAGGAAAAGAUAAGGAUAAAGAAUGUCAUAUAUCUCAGGAGCUAGAUCACUUCUCGAUGAACAAGUCAGAAUUGCCUCAACAAAAUGAAUGGAAUUGGACCGAAAAAAGCCAUUCAGCUUCGUUAUCGAUUAGGUAUCAGUGGGAACAUCAAGAUGAAUGA